CGGGUUGUAAACUGCUUUUGUACGGAGCGAAAAGGCUCUCUCUAAUACAGGGGGCUCAUGACGGUACCGUAAGAAUAAGCACCGGCUAACUACGUGCCAGCAGCCGCGGUAAUACGUAGGGUGCAAGCGUUAAUCGGAAUUACUGGGCGUAAAGCGUGCGCAGGCGGUUUUGUAAGACAGGCGUGAAAUCCCCGGGCUCAACCUGGGAAUGGCGCUUGUGACUGCAAAGCUGGAGUGCGGCAGAGGGGGAUGGAAUUCCGCGUGUAGCAGUGAAAUGCGUAGAUAUGCGGAGGAACACCGAUGGCGAAGGCAGUCCCCUGGGAUAAGACUGACGCUCAUGCACGAAAGCGUGGGGAGCAAACAGGAUUAGAUACCCUGGUAGUCCACGCCCUAAACGAUGUCUACUAGUUGUUGGGGUAGCAAUACCUCAGUGACGCAGCUAACGCGUGAAGUAGACCGCCUGGGGAGUACGGUCGCAAGAUUAAAACUACAAAGGAAUUGACGGGGG
Molecule: ribosomal RNA, 508 nt
Filed under: uncultured bacterium
Lineage: Bacteria
Description: bacterial SSU rRNA
Rfam family: Bacterial small subunit ribosomal RNA
Source: RNAcentral